Aegilops tauschii subsp. strangulata is the source of this 922-nucleotide long non-coding RNA. RefSeq lists it as uncharacterized. NCBI's taxonomy places the organism in Eukaryota, Viridiplantae, Streptophyta, Magnoliopsida, Poales, Poaceae. The record is from RefSeq and is a predicted model, not a curated record.
GGUGGCGAGCUCCGCACGCGCGGGCGCGAGGGCCUUGGCCAGCACGCGGCGGUGGCGAGCUCCACACGUGCGCGCGCGAGGGCGGCGGCGGCGGCGGUGUCGAGCUCCGCACGCGCGAGCGCGAGGGCCUCGGCCACUGCACGCACGCGGCGGCAGCACGCGGAGGCGCUACUCGCUAGGCCAGCACGCACGGAGGUUCUCGGCAAGCACGCAAAGGCGCUAGGCCAGCACGCACGGCUGCACGCACGCGGCGGCAGCACGCAGAGGCGCUAGGCCAGCACGCACGGCUGCACGUACGCGGCGGCAGCACGCACGGCCGGCCCAUAGGGGCCGGACACUGUCGGGGUUGUCCGUCUAGACAUUUAGGAAUAGGGAUCCGGAUAUAGAUGCUCCAAGUCGAUUUUCACAGUGAAACGGUUCUCUCCUAAUUUCUUGCUUCUUUGUUUUUUGUGGAUUGUUUACUUAUCGCCUUUUGUAUUCGAUUCGAUCUCACCUUCAUCUCAUGUUUUGUAAACAGAUCCUCCUUGCCGUGCCAUGGCACGGCCAGCGUCCCUCGACUGUGAUUCUGACGACUAUGACUCCGACUCCGGCUAUGCUUCCGGUGACGAAACUCGGCCUAAUAAGCGUCUUGUGUAUGAUUCUGAUGGAGGACUCUACAUUGAUGAUGAUGAUGAUGAUGACGACAACGAUGACGACGACGACGACGAGGAGGAUGAAUAGAAAGCCACGUAACAGCUGGGAGGCUGGCAUGGCAUGAAGAGGCCAGCAGAAGCAGUUACGGAGUGCAAGUCUAGCUAGUGGCAGAAAUGUUGUUUUUGUAAAUAUGUUUGCUUGUGUGAUGAGACCAAAUGUAAAUGUAUUGAUGUGAUUGAACUAACUGUUAGCGUUUUACUACAUAAGAAGGCACUGUCAGCAUUUGAUA